CCCGCUGAACUUAAGCAUAUCAAUAAGCGGAGGAAAAGAAACCAACAGGGAUUGCCUCAGUAGCGGCGAGUGAAGCGGCAAAAGCUCAGAUUUGAAAUCAGGUGUGUUUUUCGCGCCCGAGUUGUAAUCUGGAGAGGAUGCUCCGGCGAAGCCGGCCGCCCAAGUUCCUUGGAACAGGACGUCUUAGAGGGUGAGAACCCCGUACCCGGCGGCAUGGUCAGCCAUGUGGAGCUCCCUCGACGAGUCGAGUUGUUUGGGAAUGCAGCUCAAACUGGGUGGUAAAUUCCAUCUAAAGCUAAAUAUUGGCGGGAGACCGAUAGCGCACAAGUAGAGUGAUCGAAAGAUGAAAAGCACUUUGAAAAGAGAGUUAAAAAGUACGUGAAAUUGUUGAAAGGGAAGCGCUUGCCAUCAGAACGGGCGCCGGUCGAUCAACGUUCCUUCUGGUUCGUGCACUCGGCCGGCCGCCCUGCCAGCAUCGGUCGCCGCGGCGGGAGAAAGGCGGCGGGAAAGUGGCUCCCCUCGGGGAGUGUUAUAGCCCGCCGCGCCAUACCGCCAGCUGACGACCGAGGACCGCGCUUCGUGCAAGGAUGCUGGCCUAAUGGUUGUAAGCGACCCGUCUUGAAACACGG
Molecule: ribosomal RNA, 629 nt
Filed under: uncultured fungus
Lineage: Eukaryota; Fungi
Description: eukaryotic LSU rRNA
Rfam family: Eukaryotic large subunit ribosomal RNA
Source: RNAcentral